Molecule: ribosomal RNA, 394 nt
Filed under: uncultured bacterium
Lineage: Bacteria
Description: bacterial SSU rRNA
Rfam family: Bacterial small subunit ribosomal RNA
Source: RNAcentral
AGUGAACGCUGGCGGCAGGCCUAAUACAUGCAAGUCGAACGGCAGCACAGCAGAGCUUGCUCUGUGGGUGGCGAGUGGCGGACGGGUGAGGAAUACAUGGGAAUCUGCCCAGUCGUGGGGGAUAACGUAGGGAAACUUACGCUAAUACCGCAUGCGCCCUUCGGGGGAAAGGCCGGGGACCGUUCGGGCCGUGGCGCGAUUGGAUGAGCCCAUGUCGGAUUAGCUAGUUGGCGGGGUAAGUGGCCCACCAAGGCGACGAUCCGUAGCUGGUCUGAGAGGAUGAUCAGCCACACUGGAACUGAGACACGGUCCAGACUCCUACGGGAGGCAGCAGUAGGGAAUAUUGGACAAUGGGCGCAAGCCUGAUCCAGCCACGCCGCGUGGGUGAUGAAGG